AGACCCGAAACCCGGUGAUCUAGCCAUGGGCAGGUUGAAGGUUGGGUAACACUAACUGGAGGACCGAACCGACUAAUGUUGAAAAAUUAGCGGAUGACCUGUGGCUGGGGGUGAAAGGCCAAUCAAACCGGGAGAUAGCUGGUUCUCCCCGAAAGCUAUUUAGGUAGCGCCUCGUGAAUUCAUCUCCGGGGGUAGAGCACUGUUUCGGCUAGGGGGCCAUCCCGGCUUACCAACCCGAUGCAAACUGCGAAUACCGGAGAAUGUUAUCACGGGAGACACACGGCGGGUGCUAACGUCCGUCGUGAAGAGGGAAACAACCCAGACCGCCAGCUAAGGUCCCAAAGUCAUGGUUAAGUGGGAAACGAUGUGGGAAGGCCCAGACAGCCAGGAUGUUGGCUUAGAAGCAGCCAUCAUUUAAAGAAAGCGUAAUAGCUCACUGGUCGAGUCGGCCUGCGCGGAAGAUGUAACGGGGCUAAACCAUGCACCGAAGCUGCGGCAGCGAACGUAUCACCCAAGACAACUUUGCGGAGUUGACGAUUGACGGAGCGAAGCGACGUCAAAGCGUUCAUUAAAGUCGAGUUGG
This 583-nucleotide ribosomal RNA is filed under the name Salmonella enterica subsp. enterica serovar Hadar. RNAcentral describes it as "partial 23S ribosomal RNA". It matches the Rfam family "Bacterial large subunit ribosomal RNA", at positions 711 to 1232 of the family's 2925-position model. The record is from RNAcentral. Lineage: Bacteria; Pseudomonadati; Pseudomonadota; Gammaproteobacteria; Enterobacterales; Enterobacteriaceae.